Molecule: long non-coding RNA, 283 nt
Filed under: Elaeis guineensis (African oil palm)
Lineage: Eukaryota; Viridiplantae; Streptophyta; Magnoliopsida; Arecales; Arecaceae
Description: long non-coding RNA (EGUI_LNC057519)
Source: RNAcentral
CACUCCCUCCAAAUAUAUUAAAAAUAUUUUAUUAGAUAGUUUGAAACAUAAUCUAUUAAAUAUUGUCAAUUCUGUGACAAAGGGUACAAAGUUAUGUUUGAAUCUUCAUUAUGUAUAGUAACUAGUCCCAAUGAUGAAGGUAUUAAAUUUGUUGGGCAUAGACAUGGUAAUAUUUAUAUGGUAGAUUUGAAUGAUCUUUUUAAGAUAAACAUGCAAUGCCUAGUAGCCUUAAAUGCUAAAAUUAAUGAGAUUAGUUGGCUUUGGCACCGUAGGCUUGCACAUA